This 454-nucleotide ribosomal RNA is filed under the name uncultured Paludibacter sp. RNAcentral describes it as "partial 16S ribosomal RNA". It matches the Rfam family "Bacterial small subunit ribosomal RNA", at positions 341 to 792 of the family's 1533-position model. Lineage: Bacteria; Pseudomonadati; Bacteroidota; Bacteroidia; Bacteroidales; Paludibacteraceae. The record is from RNAcentral.
ACGGGAGGCAGCAGUGAGGAAUAUUGGUCAAUGGGCGGAAGCCUGAACCAGCCAAGUCGCGUGAAGGAUGAAGGUAUUAUGUAUUGUAAACUUCUUUAGCCAGGGGGCAAUAAGGCGUACGCGUACGCCGAUGAGAGUACCUGGAGAAUAAGGAUCGGCUAACUCCGUGCCAGCAGCCGCGGUAAUACGGAGGAUCCGAGCGUUAUCCGGAUUUAUUGGGUUUAAAGGGUGCGUAGGCGGGCUGUUAAGUCAGCGGUGAAACCCCCGGGCUCAACCCGGGGACUGCCAUUGAAACUGGCGGCCUUGAGUACGUUGGGAGUGCGCGGAAUGUGUGGUGUAGCGGUGAAAUGCAUAGAUAUCACACAGAACACCGAUCGCGUAGGCAGCGCACUACGCCGCAACUGACGCUGAGGCACGAAGGCGCGGGGAUCGAACAGGAUUAGAUACCCUGGUA